UAUAAAUAUCUUGUAUAUUUAUAAGAUUGGCAGUGUGGUUCUUGCUGGACCUGGGUGAUAAUAGAUCCCGAAAGACGGAGAUUGAACCAAAAAACAACUCUUAUAAAAAGAGUUGUUUUUUUU
RNAcentral lists this small RNA (123 nucleotides) under Mycoplasma leachii 99/014/6. RNAcentral's name for it is "Mycoplasma sRNA MCS4". It matches the Rfam family "Mycoplasma sRNA MCS4". From Rfam's summary of the family: Abundant, small RNA of unknown function, found only in Mycoplasma. Lineage: Bacteria; Bacillati; Mycoplasmatota; Mollicutes; Mycoplasmatales; Mycoplasmataceae. The record is from Rfam by way of RNAcentral.